UGCGACAGUGAUGAUGAGGAGGAUGUUGCCACAACGAUAGCAGCGACAGGGCAUUGGGGAAGACAGAAGCAACUCAACAGCUACAGUACUAGCAAAGAAACAAAUUGCUUGUGAAUAUCUGGAAGACUCUGAUGAGAGUGAUAUCUUGGUGACAAGCAAGACACCAAACAAUGGAAAAACACCAAACAAAUCACUCAGAAAAGAAAACGCAUAUGAAGACACUCUACACGAUAGUGACAAUGAGAGUGACGACGAUGAAUUGGUUACAGCUACGCUUAGACGGCGAUCUUAUCAAUUUAGUAGAUGAAUUAAACUCACUCCCACUAAAUCAGUAUAGUACUCCGAGUGCAACAUUGUAGUGUGGCAGCAUCAAAACUUAUCAAUUUUAGCUGUUGCCACAAACACACUCAGAGGAGUAUCAUUCACUAACUUUAAGGUUUACAAAUUUGUUUAGAAAUCAGUAUACUAUAUAAUUACCUGUGGAUAAAGUAAACAAAUGAUGUGGGUAUAUUAGGAGGAAUGGCCUCAGCAGGGGGCCGUUUAUGUAGAAGAGUCCCCGUUGAGGGAAAAAAAAACAAUUUGUUGGGGAGAACAAAAAUUAUAUGUAUUUUAAUUGCACAGAUGAUACCUCAAAAACUAGCUCAAAUUUACGCAGAGUAUUUCUAAAAAAAUAGUUGUGCAGAAUCGCAAUUACUGCAUAAUACAUUAUUUCUCCACUUGUCGACAUUGUUUAUUUCAGGUGGGUAAAUAUUGUGACACUACUUCUUACAUUAUUUUUCUUCUUAAAACUGGUACAGCAUGUUGGAUUAUGUCACUGUCAAAUUGCUUGCUUUCUUGGUCAUACAAUAGUUUCAAAGCUUAAAAUCUGAGAGAGUGUCUGUUCGUUAUUUUAACAUAGUUUUAUAGCUUAAAAUCUGAGGGAUAUGAGCCUGUACCUCCUCUUACCAAACUGAAUUUUUCAUUCAACACUGAGGGCCUGAAAGCGAAAAAAAUUGAUGUUUUCAAGUUGUUGCAAAAACCUUCGUACACUUCUUUAUUAACGCUUUAAGAGUUUGUAAGGAAAAUUAUUGUAGGGAUUUUAAUUUAGUUUCGCGGGCAACAAUAAAAUUGCUGUUAGACCGCAUGUGGCUAGCGGAUGCCCCACCUUUGGCCAAGACACAAUUUCCUACUGUAAAACUGUCAGUUCAGUGGAGGUCCUCAUACUCUUUGUCUUUAUUUAGCUCAAAACAAGGAGUUAUAAUAGUAUUCAUUUAUAAAAUGGAUUUUUGUUUUUUUUUAAUCUUCAUAUUUUUUCUAUACAGUUAUCACUCGUACGUAUAAAGUCAUAUCUACUUUUGGAUGUUAAGUAUUAGUUUAAUCUAGUUUGUACAACAUGUAGAGUAUAUUUUCAUUAGUCUUUAAAAGUGUGUGAAGUACAUUAUUUAUUAUUUUAUUAUUUUCAGAUGGAAAUUACAAUAUUACGCAUAGUAUGGUG
Anneissia japonica is the source of this 1474-nucleotide long non-coding RNA. RefSeq lists it as uncharacterized. NCBI's taxonomy places the organism in Eukaryota, Metazoa, Echinodermata, Crinoidea, Comatulida, Comatulidae. The transcript is spliced from 3 exons. The record is from RefSeq and is a predicted model, not a curated record.